GGAAGUUACAAAAAUUGGUAGCCUCUCAGUAAUCAGAGGUUAACUAUAUAUAAACCGUGGAGGACACAAAGCUGACAGCGGUGUGUGGGUGCCCGCUGAUGACAAGGACGUCCACUGCCAAAUAUUCUUUGCCUAACAUAGACGCGCGACCCGUGCCACCAUAACUCAGCUUAACUCGAACAGCACAGCGGCAUGGCAAGGCUUUGAAUCAUACCUCACAACUCUGGCCGUGUGUUAUGUAGGGGGAGAAGCUGCCGGAGUGACCCUACGAGGGGGCAAGGAAGUUUGUCUCUUUCCCUCCACUGCAGAUGACCUCAGAUGUCUAUAGGUCUAAGGCCCCAAAAAUCAACGGAGCAACACGUAGAACCAUUGUGUGCGGCGACGCAGCUGCCGGAAGAACAUGGAAGGUUUACAACGGGCUUCCCUGCGUAUCCACUCCAUAGAACCAUUGUGUGCGGCGACGGAGCUGCCGGAAGAACAUAGAAGCAUUGUGUGCGGCGACGCAGCUGCCGGAAGAACAUGGAAGGUUUACAACGGGCAUCCCUGUGUAUCCACGGCGGCAAGACAGGAAGUGUCGGAAUGAGAGUUAACCCUUAGCACUUCGUAAUGCUACCUCAUCCAAACAGGACGGAAUGGAGAAGUGGAAAGGAGUGAGGCAUCAGGUCUCUCACGUCCCCUCUACAGUGUGAAAGUAAUACCACUACGGAAGGGAGAACCAGACCAGCGUGUCCUGCCAGCUAUCUGCAUCGCUGCUGGGAGGGAAGAACAUAAAAUCAAGUAACCUAAGAAAAUGGAGUUGAGGCUCAAGAGGCCACUUUUACCAUGUGGCCGCCCUUGUCCUCUGCCUUGCUUCAGACCUGCAUCACACCUCUAGUCGUCGUUCGAAAACCUGCUGCCAUCUAGGGGAGAGGGAAGGAAGGAAGCCUCGCCGGUCACGCAUACAUGUCUUGUACUACCUCUGUGAAUGUGCUGACUUUGUAAAUACAUUAUGAAAUGAUUUAAUAAAUUACGAAACUGU
Molecule: long non-coding RNA, 1018 nt
Filed under: Portunus trituberculatus (swimming crab)
Lineage: Eukaryota; Metazoa; Arthropoda; Malacostraca; Decapoda; Portunidae
Description: uncharacterized LOC123503393, transcript variant X1
Source: RNAcentral